This 90-nucleotide non-coding RNA is filed under the name Thermanaeromonas toyohensis. Its description in RNAcentral is "c-di-GMP sequence". It matches the Rfam family "c-di-GMP-I riboswitch aptamer". Rfam says of the family: GEMM was predicted in a large-scale screen for bacterial structured RNA regulatory elements. Genes associated with GEMM are involved in a diverse array of functions, including chemotaxis regulation, signal transduction, secretion and chitin. Lineage: Bacteria; Bacillati; Bacillota; Clostridia; Neomoorellales; Neomoorellaceae. RNAcentral also lists the same sequence under 1 other name. The record is from RNAcentral.
UCACGAUAAAGGCAAACAGCUCGAAAGGGCGGGGCGCAAAGCCAUGGGCCUAAGAUCCAGGUAAAGGAUUAUGGCUGCCAGGCUGCCGUG